UACGGAUUGCGUGACUUUUCGA
RNAcentral lists this microRNA (22 nucleotides) under Apis mellifera (honey bee). RNAcentral's name for it is "ame-miR-3719-3p". The record is from miRBase by way of RNAcentral. Lineage: Eukaryota; Metazoa; Arthropoda; Insecta; Hymenoptera; Apidae.